This 1019-nucleotide ribosomal RNA is filed under the name Conidiobolus nanodes. RNAcentral's name for it is "LSU rRNA". It matches the Rfam family "Eukaryotic large subunit ribosomal RNA", at positions 38 to 963 of the family's 3401-position model. The record is from RNAcentral. Lineage: Eukaryota; Fungi; Entomophthoromycota; Entomophthoromycetes; Entomophthorales; Conidiobolaceae.
GCAUAUCAAUAAGCGGAGGAAAAAGAAACUAAACAAGGGAUUCCCCUAGUAAUGGGCGAAUGAAGAGGGAAAAAGCUCAAAUUUAAAAAUCUCAAUUAUUAAUUUAAUUGCGAAUUGUAAUUUAAAAGGAUUUUAAUCAGUAUUAAAUUUAACUUAAGUUGGCUGGAAAGCCACUGCAGAGAGGGUGAUACACCCGUAACUGGUUAAAAUUUUAAUGCGUUAGUAUUAUUUUCCAAAGAGUCAGAUUGCUUGGGACUGCAGUCUAAAAUGGGAGGUAAAUUUCUUCUAAAGCUAAAUAUUGGCAAGAGACCGAUAGCGAACAAGUACCGUGAGGGAAAGAUGAAAAGAACCUUGAAAAGGGGUUUAAAAGAAAGUGAAAUUGUUAAAAGGGAAACGCUUAAAAUGGGUAAAUAGAUGAAUAGAAAAUAUUCAAAUUUGAAUAGUACUCUAUUAAUCUUAGUGAUUAAUAAAAAUUUUUAAUAAUAAAGAAUAAUUUUUAUAAAGGUACAUUGGGAUAAAACCUUUUGACAUAUAAUAUAAAUUUUGAAAAUAUUAUUAAAGAUUUUUUAAUUAAUUUUAAACUUUUUAAUAAAUUCUUAAUAUUAAAUUUAAUAAAUAUUUAUAUAGAUUAAAUUUAAUAUUUUUUAUAUAGUUAAAAAGGUUAAAAUUAAAUUGAUCAUAACUUUUUUAAGCGACCCGUCUUGAAACACGGACCAAGGAGUCUAACAUUUAUGCGAGUAGUUGAGAAAUUUAAACUCAUAUGCGAAAUGAAAGUAAAUUCAAGGUAGGAUUAUGUUAAAGUAUGCACUAUCAACCGAUCUAUUAGGUUUUUAUCUAUAGAAUUGAGUAAGAGCAUAAAUGUUGGGACCCGAAAGAUGGUGAACUAUGCCUGAAUAGGGGCGAAGCCAGAGGAAACUCUGGUGGAGGCUCGUAGCGAUUCUGACGUGCAAAUCGAUCGUCAAAUUUGGGUAUAGGGGGCGAAAGACUAAUCGAAACCAUCUAGUAGCUGGUUUCUGCGA